UCAAAGAAAAUCAUGCCUCCGUACUGCUAUCAGCCUAUCACCAUUCUUAUCAUCCCUCCAUCAAUAUUAGAAAAGUGUUAGGCUCCAAAAUCACCAUUACCCUUCUCCUUCGGAUGUUGGAUCCUAUACCAUCAUAAAUGUCGAUUGAUUGUUGCUCUGCUAUCUCUGCUCACUAAAAUUAGGCGAACCCUCCUUCCUCCUCGUCGUGGGUUGGUAAAGGUACUUGGAUAUGAGUGAGGAGACGCUUAGAAUAACCACCUAUUCAAGAGACAAUUUCUGUUUCUGUUUAAGUUGAACUUUGUUAUUUAUUUUAUGAGAAUUGGUUGUAUUAUUUUUAUGGGCUA
Long non-coding RNA from Spinacia oleracea (spinach), 344 nucleotides. RefSeq lists it as uncharacterized. The record is from RefSeq and is a predicted model, not a curated record. Lineage: Eukaryota; Viridiplantae; Streptophyta; Magnoliopsida; Caryophyllales; Amaranthaceae. The transcript is spliced from 2 exons.